RNAcentral lists this ribosomal RNA (468 nucleotides) under uncultured bacterium. Its description in RNAcentral is "partial 16S ribosomal RNA". It matches the Rfam family "Bacterial small subunit ribosomal RNA", at positions 28 to 507 of the family's 1533-position model. The record is from RNAcentral.
GAUGAACGCUGGCGGCGUGCUUAAUACAUGCAAGUCGAGCGGAAAGGUCCUGAUCUUGCGGGUUGCACGUGUGGCGAAGGGGUGAGUAAAACGUGAGUAAACUGCCCCUGUAUUCGGGGUAACUCUUGGAGACUGGGGCUAAUAUCGGAUAGGAGCUCUUGCACCGUGGUGGGCGUUGGUAAGAUUCGGCGGUUGGGGAUGGUCUCGCGGCUUAUCAGCUUGUUGGUGAGGUAGUCGAUUACCAAGGCUUUGACGGCUAGGCCGCCUUGGAGGGUGGACGGCCACAAUGCUACUGAGGUACGGCCCAGAAUGCUACCUGCCGCAGUAGGGGAGAGUAUGGCGCAGUAGGGCGGAGCCAGAUGCAGCAAUGCCGCGUGCGUAAAAACGUCCUUCGAGGGGUAAACCGCUGUGGCAUGUGACGAGGCGGUAGUGACGGUAACGAAUAAGAAAGCACCGGCUAACUACGUG